RNAcentral lists this transfer RNA (69 nucleotides) under Marmota monax (woodchuck). RNAcentral describes it as "tRNA.Ala". The record is from RNAcentral. Lineage: Eukaryota; Metazoa; Chordata; Mammalia; Rodentia; Sciuridae.
GUGAUUGUAGCUCAGUGGUAGAGCUUGCCUAGCACACGUAAGGGACUGAGUUCGAUCCUCAGUACCACA